AAGUCGUAACAAGGUCUCCGUUGGUGAACCAGCGGAGGGAUCAUUACAGAGUUGCAAAACUCCCCAAACCAUUGUGAACCUUACCUUCUACCGUUGCUUCGGCGGGCGGGCCACAGCGCCCCCCGGGCCCCCUCGGGGGCGCCCGCCGGAGGAUAACCAAACUCUUGAUAUUCAUGGCCUCUCUGAGUCUUCUGUACUGAAUAAGUCAAAACUUUCAACAACGGAUCUCUUGGUUCUG
RNAcentral lists this unclassified non-coding RNA (238 nucleotides) under Acrophialophora jodhpurensis. RNAcentral's name for it is "partial internal transcribed spacer region". The stretch from base 1 to 46 matches the Rfam family "Eukaryotic small subunit ribosomal RNA", at positions 1786 to 1831 of the family's 1831-position model. Lineage: Eukaryota; Fungi; Ascomycota; Sordariomycetes; Sordariales; Chaetomiaceae. The record is from RNAcentral.